AGUAGUGUAUCCGUGGCUACGAUGAACGCUGGCGGCGUGCCUAAUACAUGCAAGUCGAUCGCACUACUCGGUAGUGAGAGGCGAACGGGUGAGUAACACGUAGGUAACAUAUCUAUAUGACGAGGAUAACGGUUGGAAACGACUGCUAAGACUGGAUAGGAGUAGAGGAGGCAUCUCUUUUACUUUAAAGGACUUUUCGGAGUACGCGUAUGGAGUGACCUGCGGCGCAUUAGUUAGUUGGUGGGGUAGUGGCCUACCAAGACGAUGAUGCGUAGCCGGACUGAGAGGUUGAACGGCCACAUUGGGACUGAGACACGGCCCAGACUCCUACGGGAGGCAGCAGUAGGGAAUUUUCGGCAAUGGGGGGAACCCUGACCGAGCAAACCGCCGCGUGAAUGACGAAGUACUUCGGUAUGUAAAGUUCUUUUAUUAAGGAAGAAAGUGCAGUGGAAAAACUGUAUAGACGGUACUUAUUGAAUAAGCCCCGGCUAACUAUGUGCCAGCCGCUGC
Molecule: ribosomal RNA, 510 nt
Filed under: uncultured bacterium
Lineage: Bacteria
Description: bacterial SSU rRNA
Rfam family: Bacterial small subunit ribosomal RNA
Source: RNAcentral